RNAcentral lists this ribosomal RNA (301 nucleotides) under uncultured bacterium. RNAcentral describes it as "partial 16S ribosomal RNA". It matches the Rfam family "Bacterial small subunit ribosomal RNA", at positions 509 to 807 of the family's 1533-position model. The record is from RNAcentral.
CAGUAGCCGCGGUAAUACGUAGGUGGCAAGCGUUGUCCGGAAUUAUUGGGCGUAAAGGGCUCGCAGGCGGUUUCUUAAGUCUGAUGUGAAAGCCCCCGGCUCAACCGGGGAGGGUCAUUGGAAACUGGGAAACUUGAGUGCAGAAGAGGAGAGUGGAAUUCCACGUGUAGCGGUGAAAUGCGUAGAGAUGUGGAGGAACACCAGUGACGAAGGCGACUCUCUGGUCUGUAACUGACGCUGAGGAGCGAAAGCGUGGGGAGCGAACAGGAUUAGAUACCCGCGUAGUCCCUGUCUCUUAUAC